This 445-nucleotide ribosomal RNA is filed under the name uncultured bacterium. Its description in RNAcentral is "partial 16S ribosomal RNA". It matches the Rfam family "Bacterial small subunit ribosomal RNA", at positions 354 to 796 of the family's 1533-position model. The record is from RNAcentral.
GUAAGGAAUAUUGGUCAAUGGGCGGAAGCCUGAACCAGCCAUGCCGCGUGCAGGACGACGGCCCUACGGGUUGUAAACUGCUUUUGCCCGGGAAUAACCCCCCGCUCUUGAGCGGGGCUGAACGUACCGGGAGAAUAAGGAUCGGCUAACUCCGUGCCAGCAGCCGCGGUAAUACGGAGGAUCCGAGCGUUAUCCGGAUUUAUUGGGUUUAAAGGGUGCGUAUGCGGCCGUUUAAGUCAGGGGUGAAAUACAGCGGCUCAACCGUUGCAGUGCCUUUGAUACUGAAUGGCUUGAAUGAUGUCGAAGACGGCGGAAUGGGACAAGUAGCGGUGAAAUGCAUAGAUAUGUCCCAGAACCCCGAUAGCGAAGGCAGCUGUCUAGGCAUUUAUUGACGCUGAUGCACGAAAGCGUGGGGAUCGAACAGGAUUAGAUACCCCAGUAGUCC